ACCUGGAUAGCUCAGUUGGUUAGAGUGUGGUGUUGAUUAACGCCAAGGUUGCAGGUUCAAUCCCCACAUGGGACU
Molecule: non-coding RNA, 75 nt
Organism: Podarcis lilfordi (Lilford's wall lizard)
Lineage: Eukaryota; Metazoa; Chordata; Lepidosauria; Squamata; Lacertidae
Source: the annotation of a GenBank genome assembly